Molecule: ribosomal RNA, 865 nt
Filed under: uncultured bacterium
Lineage: Bacteria
Description: bacterial SSU rRNA
Rfam family: Bacterial small subunit ribosomal RNA
Source: RNAcentral
AGAGUUUGAUCAUGGCUCAGGAUUAACGCUGGCGGCGUGCUUAACACAUGCAAGUCGAACGGUGAUGGAGAGCUUGCUCUUCGGAUCAGUGGCGAACGGGUGAGUAACACGUGAGCAAUCUGCCCCUGACUCUGGGAUAAGCGCUGGAAACGGCGUCUAAUACUGGAUAUGAGCUGCGAUCGCAUGGUCAGCAGUUGGAAAGAACUUCGGUCAGGGAUGAGCUCGCGGCCUAUCAGCUUGUUGGUGAGGUAAUGGCUCACCAAGGCGUCGACGGGUAGCCGGCCUGAGAGGGUGACCGGCCACACUGGGACUGAGACACGGCCCAGACUCCUACGGGAGGCAGCAGUGGGGAAUAUUGCACAAUGGGCGCAAGCCUGAUGCAGCAACGCCGCGUGAGGGACGACGGCCUUCGGGUUGUAAACCUCUUUUAGCAGGGAAGAAGCGAAAGUGACGGUACCUGCAGAAAAAUCACCGGCUAACUACGUGCCAGCAGCCGCGGUAAUACGUAGGGUGCAAGCGUUAUCCGGAAUUAUUGGGCGUAAAGAGCUCGUAGGCGGUUUGUCGCGUCUGCUGUGAAAACCCGAGGCUCAACCUCGGGCCUGCAGUGGGUACGGGCAGACUAGAGUGCGGUAGGGGAGAUUGGAAUUCCUGGUGUAGCGGUGGAAUGCGCAGAUAUCAGGAGGAACACCGAUGGCGAAGGCAGAUCUCUGGGCCGUAACUGACGCUGAGGAGCGAAAGGGUGGGGAGCAAACAGGCUUAGAUACCCUGGUAGUCCACGCCGUAAACGAUGUCAACUAGCCGUUGGGAGCCUUGAGCUCUUAGUGGCGCAGCUAACGCAUUAGUUGACCGCCUGGGGAGUACGGCC